AUGCAAGUCGUGCGAGAAAGUACCCUUCGGGGUGCGAGUAGAGCGGCAAACGGGUGAGUAACACGUAAGUAACCUACCUCUAAAUCUGGAAUAACUCUGCCAACGCGGAGCUAAUACCGGAUGUGGUCACGAUGCUGCAUGGUAUUGUGACUAAAGGUGACCUCUCCUUGGAAGUUACCGUUUAGAGAUGGGCUUGCGGACCAUUAGCUAGUUGGUGAGGUAACGGCUCACCAAUGCUACGAUGGAUAGCCGGCCUAAGAGGGUGAUCGGCCACAUUGGGACUGAGAUACGGCCCAGACUCCUACGGGAGGCAGCAGUAGGGAAUUUUGCGCAAUGGACGAAAGUCUGACGCAGCAACGCCGCGUGAGGGAUGACGGCCUUCGGGUUGUAAACCUCUGUUGAGUGGGAAGAAAAGCUUUGUGGUUAAUAUCCACAGAGUCUGACGGUACCACUCGAGGAAGCUCCGGCUAACUACGUGCCAGCAGCCGCGGUAAUACGUAGGGGGCUAGCGUUGUUCGGAAUCACUGGGCGUAAAGGGAGUGUAGGCGGACCGGUAAGUUAGGAGUUAAAUGUACGGGCUCAACCCGUGAUCUGCUUUUAAUACUGUCGGUCUUGAGUAUGGGAGAGGGAGAUGGAAUUCCAGGUGUAGCGGUGGAAUGCGUAGAUAUCUGGAAGAACACCAGUUGCGAAGGCGGUCUCCUGGACCAAUACUGACGCUGAUGCUCGAAAGCUGGGGGAGCGAACAGGAUUAGAUACCCUGGUAGUCC
RNAcentral lists this ribosomal RNA (767 nucleotides) under uncultured organism. RNAcentral describes it as "bacterial SSU rRNA". It matches the Rfam family "Bacterial small subunit ribosomal RNA", at positions 55 to 796 of the family's 1533-position model. The record is from RNAcentral.